This 497-nucleotide ribosomal RNA is filed under the name uncultured bacterium. RNAcentral describes it as "partial 16S ribosomal RNA". It matches the Rfam family "Bacterial small subunit ribosomal RNA", at positions 28 to 507 of the family's 1533-position model. The record is from RNAcentral.
GACGAACGCUGGCGGCGUGCCUAAUACAUGCAAGUUGAGCGCUGAAGGUUGGUACUUGUACCAACUGGAUGAGCAGCGAACGGGUGAGUAACGCGUGGGGAAUCUGCCUUUGAGCGGGGGACAACAUUUGGAAACGAAUGCUAAUACCGCAUAAAAACUUUAAACACAAGUUUUAAGUUUGAAAGAUGCAAUUGCAUCACUCAAAGAUGAUCCCGCGUUAUAUUAGCUAGUUGGUGAGGUAAAGGCUCACCAAGGCGAUGAUACAUAGCCGACCUGAGAGGGUGAUCGGCCACAUUGGGACUGAGACACGGCCCAAACUCCUACGGGAGGCAGCAGUAGGGAAUCUUCGGCAAUGGACGAAAGUCUGACCGAGCAACGCCGCGUGAGUGAAGAAGGUUUUCGGAUCGUAAAACUCUGUUGGUAGAGAAGAACGUUGGUGAGAGUGGAAAGCUCAUCAAGUGACGGUAACUACCCAGAAAGGGACGGCUAACUACGUG